RNAcentral lists this ribosomal RNA (497 nucleotides) under uncultured bacterium. Its description in RNAcentral is "partial 16S ribosomal RNA". It matches the Rfam family "Bacterial small subunit ribosomal RNA", at positions 28 to 507 of the family's 1533-position model. The record is from RNAcentral.
GAUGAACGCUGGCGGCGUGCCUAAUACAUGCAAGUCGAGCGAACAGACGAGGAGCUUGCUCCUUCGACGUUAGCGGCGGACGGGUGAGUAACACGUAGGUAACCUACCUAUAAGACUGGGAUAACUUCGGGAAACCGGAGCUAAUACCGGAUAAUAUUUCGAACCGCAUGGUUCGAUAGUGAAAGAUGGCUUUGCUAUCACUUAUAGAUGGACCUGCGCCGUAUUAGCUAGUUGGUAAGGUAACGGCUUACCAAGGCAACGAUACGUAGCCGACCUGAGAGGGUGAUCGGCCUCACUGGAACUGAGACACGGUCCAGACUCCUACGGGAGGCAGCAGUAGGGAAUCUUCCGCAAUGGGCGAAAGCCUGACGGAGCAACGCCGCGUGAGUGAUGAAGGUCUUCGGAUCGUAAAACUCUGUUAUUAGGGAAGAACAAACGUGUAAGUAACUGUGCACGUCUUGACGGUACCUAAUCAGAAAGCCACGGCUAACUACGUG